This 259-nucleotide ribosomal RNA is filed under the name uncultured bacterium. RNAcentral describes it as "partial 16S ribosomal RNA". It matches the Rfam family "Bacterial small subunit ribosomal RNA", at positions 524 to 782 of the family's 1533-position model. The record is from RNAcentral.
UACGAAGGGGGCUAGCGUUGCUCGGAAUCACUGGGCGUAAAGCGCACGUAGGCGAACUCUUAAGUCGGUGGUGAAAUCCUGGAGCUCAACUCCAGAACUGCCUUCGAUACUGAGAGUCUCGAGUCCGGGAGAGGUGAGUGGAACUGCGAGUGUAGAGGUGAAAUUCGUAGAUAUUCGCAAGAACACCAGUGGCGAAGGCGGCUCACUGGCCCGGUACUGACGCUGAGGUGCGAAAGCGUGGGGAGCAAACAGGAUUAGA